This 426-nucleotide ribosomal RNA is filed under the name uncultured Actinomycetes bacterium. RNAcentral describes it as "bacterial SSU rRNA". It matches the Rfam family "Bacterial small subunit ribosomal RNA", at positions 233 to 671 of the family's 1533-position model. Lineage: Bacteria; Bacillati; Actinomycetota; Actinomycetes. The record is from RNAcentral.
GCGGCCUAUCAGCUUGUUGGUGAGGUAAUGGCUCACCAAGGCAACGACGGGUAGCCGGCCUGAGAGGGCGACCGGCCACACUGGGACUGAGACACGGCCCAGACUCCUACGGGAGGCAGCAGUGGGGAAUAUUGGGCAAUGGACGCAAGUCUGACCCAGCGACGCCGCGUGCGGGAUGAAGGCCUUCGGGUUGUAAACCGCUUUCAGCAGGGAAGAAGCGAAAGUGACGGUACCUGCGAAAGAAGCACCGGCUAACUAUGUGCCAGCAGCCGCGGUAAUACAUAGGGUGCAAGCGUUGUCCGGAAUUAUUGGGCGUAAAGAGUUCGUAGGUGGUUCGUUACGUCGGAUGUGAAAAUCUGGGGCUCAACCCCAGACCUGCAUUCGAUACGGGCGAGCUAGAGUUUGGUAGGGGAGACUGGAAUUCCU